RNAcentral lists this ribosomal RNA (234 nucleotides) under uncultured bacterium. Its description in RNAcentral is "partial 16S ribosomal RNA". It matches the Rfam family "Bacterial small subunit ribosomal RNA", at positions 15 to 236 of the family's 1533-position model. The record is from RNAcentral.
GAUCAUGGCUCAGGAUGAACGCUAGCUACAGGCUUAACACAUGCAAGUCGAGGGGAAACGACAUCGAAAGCUUGCUUUUGAUGGGCGUCGACCGGGCGCACGGGUGAGUAACGCGUAUCCAACCUGCCCACCACUUGGGGAUAACCUUGCGAAAGUAAGACUAAUACCCAAUGAUAUCUCUAGAAGACAUUCUGAAAGGGAUUAAAGAUUUAUCGGUGAUGGAUGGGGAUGCGU